UUGAACGCUGGCGGCAUGCCUUACACCUGCAAGUCGAACGGCAGCACGGGUGCUUGCACCUGGUGGCGAGUGGCGAACGGGUGAGUAAUACAUCGGAACAUGUCCUGUAGUGGGGGAUAGCCCGGCGAAAGCCGGAUUAAUACCGCAUACGAUCUACGGAUGAAAGCGGGGGACCUUCGGGCCUCGCGCUAUAGGGUUGGCCGAUGGCUGAUUAGCUAGUUGGUGGGGUAAAGGCCUACCAAGGCGACGAUCAGUAGCUGGUCUGAGAGGACGACCAGCCACACUGGGACUGAGACACGGCCCAGACUCCUACGGGAGGCAGCAGUGGGGAAUUUUGGACAAUGGGCGAAAGCCUGAUCCAGCAAUGCCGCGUGUGUGAAGAAGGCCUUCGGGUUGUAAAGCACUUUUGUCCGGAAAGAAAUCCUUGGCUCUAAUACAGUCGGGGGAUGACGGUACCGGAAGAAUAAGCACCGGCUAACUACGUG
This 485-nucleotide ribosomal RNA is filed under the name uncultured bacterium. RNAcentral's name for it is "partial 16S ribosomal RNA". It matches the Rfam family "Bacterial small subunit ribosomal RNA", at positions 30 to 507 of the family's 1533-position model. The record is from RNAcentral.